RNAcentral lists this ribosomal RNA (442 nucleotides) under uncultured bacterium. RNAcentral's name for it is "partial 16S ribosomal RNA". It matches the Rfam family "Bacterial small subunit ribosomal RNA", at positions 338 to 795 of the family's 1533-position model. The record is from RNAcentral.
CCUACGGGAGGCAGCAGUGGGGAAUAUUGGGCAAUGGACGCAAGUCUGACCCAGCAACGCCGCGUGAAGGAAGAAGGCUUUCGGGUUGUAAACUUCUUUUAAGGGGGAAGAGCAGAAGACGGUCCCCCUUGAAUAAGCCACGGCUAACUACGUGCCAGCAGCCGCGGUAAUACGUAGGUGGCAAGCGUUGUCCGGAUUUACUGGGUGUAAAGGGCGUGAAGCCGGAGAGACAAGUCAUAUGUGAAAUCCGCGGGCUCAACACGUGAACUGCAAUUUAAACUGUUUCCCUUGAGAGUCGGAGAGGUAAUUGGAAUUCCUAGUGUAGCGGUGAAAUGCGUAGAUAUAAGGAAGAACACCAGUAGCGAAGGCGGAUUACUGGAAGAGAACUGACGGUGAGGCACGAAAGCGUAGGGAGCAAACAGGAUUAGAUACCCGAGUAGUC